ACCCGCUGAACUUAAGCAUAUCAAUAAGCGGAGGAAAAGAAACCAACCGGGAUUACCUCAGUAACGGCGAGUGAAGCGGUAACAGCUCAAAUUUGAAAUCUGGCUCUUCCGGAGUCCGAGUUGUAAUUUGUAGAAGAUGCUUUGGGUUGUGGGUUCGGCCUAAGUUCCUUGGAACAGGACGUCAUAGAGGGUGAGAAUCCCGUAUGUGGCCGAGGCCCGCGCCUAUGUAAAGCUCUUUCAACGAGUCGAGUUGUUUGGGAAUGCAGCUCAAAAUGGGUGGUAAAUUUCAUCUAAAGCUAAAUAUGGGCCAGAGACCGAUAGCGCACAAGUAGAGUGAUCGAAAGAUGAAAAGCACUUUGGAAAGAGAGUUAAACAGUACGUGAAAUUGUUGAAAGGGAAGCGCUUGCAACCAGACUUGGGCGCUGCCGAUCACCUUGAGUUUUCUCGAGUGCACUCGACAGCGCACAGGCCAGCAUCGGUUCGGGUGGCUGGAUAAAGGCCGUAGGAAUGUGGCUCUCUUCGGGGAGUGUUAUAGCCUACGGUGCCAUGCAGCCCAGCCGGACCGAGGACCGCGCCUUCGGGCUAGGAUGCUGGCGUAAUGGUUGUAAGCGACCCGUCUUGAAACACGGACCAAGG
RNAcentral lists this ribosomal RNA (636 nucleotides) under Erysiphe quercicola. RNAcentral describes it as "LSU rRNA". It matches the Rfam family "Eukaryotic large subunit ribosomal RNA", at positions 23 to 671 of the family's 3401-position model. The record is from RNAcentral. Lineage: Eukaryota; Fungi; Ascomycota; Leotiomycetes; Helotiales; Erysiphaceae.